CGAAUCUGCUCAAGCCCUAUGUCACCAGCAACCCCUCGGAGGAUGAGGAGGCUGUGGUCUUAACCUGUGAACCUGAGACUCAUGGCACAAUCUACAUGUGUUGGGUAAAUUGUCAUAAACUCACACUCAGUCCCAGGCUAAAGAUGUCCAAUGAUAACAGGAUCCUUGCUCUACUCAGUGUCACAAGGAGUGACACAGGACUCUAUGAAUGUCAAAGGAAGAAUGUAGUGAGUACAAGCCACAGUGACCCAGUCACCUGGAUGUUAUGGCCCAGAUGAACCCACAACUUAUCCUUCAGACACCUAUUACUAUCCAGGGUCAAACCUCAACCUCUCCUGCCUCAUGGGCUCUAAUCCAUCAGCAGAGUAUUCUUGGCUGCUGAAUGGGAAUAACCAGCAAACAGGACAAGAGCUCUUUAUCCCCCAAGUCACUACAGAGAAUAGUGGGGACUAUCUGUGUUAUGUCCAUAACCCAGUCACUAAUGGCAAAAACUUCACAACCAAGAAAAUCACA
Molecule: long non-coding RNA, 513 nt
Filed under: Homo sapiens (human)
Lineage: Eukaryota; Metazoa; Chordata; Mammalia; Primates; Hominidae
Description: non-protein coding lnc-PSG2-3:1
Source: RNAcentral